GCGCUGGUGGUGCAAGGCGAACAUCGCUGCCUGGAAAGCAGAAGAUGCGGGUUCGAGUCCCGCCUGGCGCA
Heligmosomoides polygyrus is the source of this 71-nucleotide non-coding RNA. NCBI's taxonomy places the organism in Eukaryota, Metazoa, Nematoda, Chromadorea, Rhabditida, Heligmosomidae. The record is from Rfam.